GUUAAGGUUUUCUAAUUAAACGCAUUUUGUCCCAGAAAUCGCAUACAUGAUCGGGAACUGGCUCUACGAAGUUAUUGGUGAUGCAGACUAAUAGGAGGCGUAUCACUCCCACAACCCACAUGCUUAUUGUUCAGCUAUCUGCAAGAUUCUUCAUUGUCCAGGCCGAGUUGUUGAAGCUAAAGGUUAUUGGCGAAGCAGACUAAGGGGCGUUUCAUCCCCACAUUUCAUACAUGCUCAUUGUGCAAGUUUCAUUUCUGCCCAGGCCGUGUUGAAGAAAUUAAGAAUCGUUAGCGACGACCCCCGUGAUGGCACAUUCAGCUACCGCCGGUUCAGUCAAUGGCAUGUUCUGGGCGAGACCGAAUCAAUAAUUAAGGCUAUAGGAUUCCAGAAGGGCAGCCUUAUUAAGGUAGGAUUUUUCCAUUUUUUGCAUGUUGUAUAUUAUGUGGGGGGAAAGUGAAUAGUGCAGUGACCGCGAAAAAAGGAUCACCAUUAACAACUUUUAGCCGAUCUUCCCAUGUAAUAAGUGAGUGGUGGCCAUACCCUCUCAGCCUGUCAUCUUGGCGAUGAAAAAGGCUGCAAGUUGUCUCUUUCGUGGAGGAAAUCACUUACUUCAUAUUAAUCAGUGACUAUGAAUUCAUAGCCACGUCAUUUUAAUGAAGUAAACAGAUCUUCUCUGCGAAUGAGUCAAGAAGCAUUGGAGCCAUUUUUUUCAUUUUCAAGUUGGCUGUUUUUCGGGAUGUAUACCUCAUUUAUUAUCAGAGGAAGAUCAGCUUAACAGAUUAAAAAAAAAGGUGAGUCACUUAGAUCACCAAAGGCUGCGCUUAAGUUUAAAAUUGAGCACUGUUGUUUCAUGUGAUGGAAUUUCGACUCAAAUGGUGACUAGGAAAUGGCGUCGUGCCCCCCACAUGCCAGUUUUUCAGUUAACUGUAAGAUUCUUCUUUGUCCACGCCGAGUUGAUGAAGCUAAAGGACUGAAGUGGUGACUAAGAAACGACGUCCCUCCUCCCAGAUACCCGUUUUUCUGCUGCCUGCAAGAUUCAUCUUUGUUCAGACAGAGUUGAUGAAGCUAAACC
Long non-coding RNA from Photinus pyralis (common eastern firefly), 1072 nucleotides. RefSeq lists it as uncharacterized. Lineage: Eukaryota; Metazoa; Arthropoda; Insecta; Coleoptera; Lampyridae. The record is from RefSeq and is a predicted model, not a curated record. The transcript is spliced from 6 exons.